CUGGAAAAUCUAGCUUGAGAGAAUCAACAGGGUGUUCCUGAACAAAUCCUAUCCCAUUAAUGAUCUCGUGAACAAGAUCACGGCCAAUUUCUCCAAAAUGACUCUCGCUACAUUAAGGAGAUCUGCUUCUUCCUUCUAUCCUCCCUCUCUCCUGUGUUGGAAUCCUGCUUGAUCUUGCUUUUCUUUUAUUUCUGUUGUUAACCUUUAUCCCCAUCGUUUUGCUUUAAUUUGUUGUGUUACCUUUCAUUAUCUCAAUAAAUUUGGAUGGGUCCAAUCCAACCUUUCAUUUGGAAGGAAAGAGAAAUAAAAAUAAGAACCAAUCUUUAUAAGUGCCUUCAAAUUUUCACCAAAUCAUUUGAAAUUUGUAUUUUCAGUGCACUCAUAU
Molecule: long non-coding RNA, 385 nt
Filed under: Elaeis guineensis (African oil palm)
Lineage: Eukaryota; Viridiplantae; Streptophyta; Magnoliopsida; Arecales; Arecaceae
Description: long non-coding RNA (EGUI_LNC021274)
Source: RNAcentral